UGAUGGGAAAAACCUAAUCAGUCUGGGUUCAUCAUGCUAAAGGGUAUUUGCUGAAAAUUCAUCACAUGUGAUCAGUGUAGAUUGCAUCCUGAUAUAACUGGAUUUGAAGGCUCAAACUUUUCUUCCUGAGUCACAGAAACAACAGGAGGUGAUGAGGACAGGAAGAAAGAAUUUCAGAGGUGAAAAAAAGAAUGACAAUUCACAAAACUAUAUUAACCUUUCAGAUUUAUUUUUUUUUAUAAAAAUAAUAACUAUUUAACUUUCCCUGUGCACUACAUUCAAUGUGUGCUUUCUGCUGUAUACCUAAGAAAAAAUUAACUUGCAAGUUUAAUUUUGUAACUUUAUCAUUGGAGAUAAUAAAUUAAUUUCAACUUUUAUAAAACAUUUUGCCAUUCUUAAGUGAAAAAAAAAAUAUUAUACUCUCCAUUCUACAGCUACUCCUCACUUGCUUUAAAACAAUUCUCAAAUAAGAAAUUCCAUUCUAACCUAUAAUUCUAAAGUUCUAAUUUUCAGAAGGGCUUCACUGGGUGAGUGCCAGCUCUCUUUUCUGUUCUUAUUUUCCUUCUUUGAGAAGUUAAUCUCCCCUUUUUUUUCUGUUUUUUUAAAUGUUUUUAAUCCUUUUUGCAAGAGUCACAUCUAAACUUUUCUGUUAUCAUUACCUUGCAGCAAUGUUACUAUUGCAGCCACAGUACCAGAGGCUAUUGAAUUUGAUUUUCAUUAUUCCUUUUACUGUCCUACUGGAUAUAUGACAUGCGAAUGUUUUAAUAUUACAUUUCUUUCUAAUCAUAUUACAUGUCUUUCUAUCCCCCAAAACAUGAGUAAUGCUAGUUUGCCAGGUAAAUCAAAUCAGCAAGUCUGGAUGACUUCUAACACUUCCCAGCAGACACAGGCUUUUGAUAAGAACUGCAGCAUGGGUUGAUUGUACCUUCAAAGGAAGUAUGUGGGUAAACCUGGGGAGCAUGUAACUAAGGCUUCAUCUCAAAAAGACAGAGCAGGAAAUGGAGAAUCAGAAUCCCACCUCCAGGCAAAAGAAUGCCUCUUGGCCAAGGAGCUACAGAUGCUUGCGCUCUCUGCAACAGACUAUCUAUCCAGCAAAACAAUAUCAAAAAAUUAAAAGGCAAACUGGGAGUGGAAAUCCUGGUCACAGGAUGCAAAAGUGGAACUACAUGAAUAUUUCAGAGACAUCUACAGAUUGUACAGUCAGAAUACCUCCACUACUAUUCUACAAGGAAUAUGCAGCAAGAGACGACAGUGCUUCCACCUAUGAAAAAGCUAUGGACUCCACAGUAUCUGCUCUGGCAUGCCAGCUGGCCUCUCCACACAUGUCUUCUGUCUCUCUCAUCAGCACGUAUGGAACAGAGAUGUGUGCUGUCACCUGGGAAGGAGGAAGAUGCAAAGAUUUUAAAGCAAUAAGCACAAACAUGGGCUCAGCAUUUUGA
This 1439-nucleotide long non-coding RNA is filed under the name Parus major (Great Tit). RNAcentral describes it as "lncRNA (ENSPMJG00000013185.1)". Lineage: Eukaryota; Metazoa; Chordata; Aves; Passeriformes; Paridae. The record is from RNAcentral.